Molecule: ribosomal RNA, 495 nt
Filed under: uncultured bacterium
Lineage: Bacteria
Description: partial 16S ribosomal RNA
Rfam family: Bacterial small subunit ribosomal RNA
Source: RNAcentral
GACGAACGCUGGCGGCGUGCCUAAUACAUGCAAGUAGAACGCUGAAGGAGGAGCUUGCUUCUCUGGAUGAGUUGCGAACGGGUGAGUAACGCGUAGGUAACCUGCCUGGUAGCGGGGGAUAACUAUUGGAAACGAUAGCUAAUACCGCAUAAUAGUAGAUGUUGCAUGACAUUUGCUUAAAAGGUGCAAUUGCACCACUACCAGAUGGACCUGCGUUGUAUUAGCUAGUUGGUGGGGUAACGGCUCACCAAGGCGACGAUACAUAGCCGACCUGAGAGGGUGAUCGGCCACACUGGGACUGAGACACGGCCCAGACUCCUACGGGAGGCAGCAGUAGGGAAUCUUCGGCAAUGGACGGAAGUCGGACCGAGCAACGCCGCGUGAGUGAAGAAGGUUUUCGGAUCGUAAAGCUCUGUUGUAAGAGAAGAACGAGUGUGAGAGUGGAAAGUUCACACUGUGACGGUAUCUUACCAGAAAGGGACGGCUAACUACGUG